CCCCCUACUCAUGGGUUCAAGCGAUUCUCAUGCCUCAGCCUCCCGAGUAGCUGGGAUGACAGGCGCCUGCCACCUUGCCUGGCUAAUUUUUGCAUUUUUAGUAGAGAUGUGGGUUUCACCAUGUUGGCCAGACUGGUCUCAAAAUCCUGACCUCAGAUGAUCCACCCACCUUGGCCUCCCAAAGUGCUGGGAUUACAGGAGUGAGCCACCGCACCCAGCCAAGAUGAGCAAUUUGAAACAAGGCUGUUCUUUAAGCAGGGAGUCUAGUCGAGCUUAACUGGGGUCCACAUGAAGGAAAAGACCCAGCUGGUGAGGACUGGGGGUUACCAUCCAAGCAUGCACAAAUUGUCAGGUUGACAAAGAAGAGUCAUUCAAAACUUCAUGAGUAGGGAAAUCGUACAGAAAAGUGCAGUGAAAACGUACUAGUCCAGGCUAUUUCAAUAAUCCAAGCAGAAAGAAAUGAAGAGACACCAGUGAGACUGGUAAAUGCAGGAAGAGAAAGGCAAAUGCUGUUGCCACUUUCAGGACUACACAAAUCAGGAGAUGGGUUGAAUUGGAGAUGCCAGUGAGUCGUAAGUGGGAGCAAGUCUAGAAGACAUGUGAGACACAAACCUAGGAGUGAGAUGAAAAGAAGGGGGAGGUAGACAAGGUUAGGGAUAGCAAUUUGGGAGUUAUUGAUCAUUACAUGGGAGUUUUUACUGCUUGGUGCCAGGUAUUUUUCUCAGCUCGAGACUGAUACUUAGCUUUGCUUUCCUCUAUGAGCAGUCUCCCGAGGACUCAGCCUCUUUUUCUCCUGUUCUUUCACAUACAGUGCUUUUCCUUCCCCUCUCUUACCUGCUGAUAUGAUUUGGCUGUGUCCCCACCCAAAUCUCAUAUUUAAUUAUACUCCCAUAAUUCCCACAUGUUGUGGGAGGGACUCGGUGAGAGAUAAUUUGAAUCAUGGAGGUGGUUUCCCCCAUACUGUUCUUGUGGUAGUGAAUAAGUCUCACAAGAUCGGACGGUUUUACCAGGGAUUUCCGUUUUUACUUUUUCCUCAUUUUCUCUUGCUGCCACCAUGUAAGAAGUGUCUUCACUUCCCACCAUGAUUCUGAGGCCUCCCCACCUGUAUGGAACUGUAAGUCCAAUUAAACCUCUUUUUCUUCCAGGUCUCGGGUCUGUCUUUAUCAGCAACAUGAAAAUGGAUUAAUACACCUGCCUUCCCUACUCUGUAGCCUACUGAGGAGUAGAAUCUAGUCUCUACACAUUCACACAUUCUCACAUCCUUCUUCUUGCCUCUGUGUUUUAAGAUUUUCUUAACAAAUUUUUAUAGGAAAGAAGACACAGCCCAAAGAGGCUCAAAGUCUUCUGAGAUCUUGCUGUGGAGAUUCCUGGUGUAUAAUUUCUGAUGGCCUCCAAGAAGCCUCCAGGUGCAAUCCAAGCUGGAGAUUUUGGCAACUGGAAUUCCUCCAGACCAUCAGGAUCUAUGUCCUUUUCCAGAAAGAUAUUUCUGUGGCCCCUCCUCCAAAAAAACAGCUGUCUCACCAUCAUGGUCUUACCUGCAGAAUCAAGUGACCUCUUCCCAUAAGAGACUGCAGAUUUAACUCCUGAAUUCUCCAAAAUGUCCAAAGCAAACACAGAACUGCUAGAUUUAAACUAUCUUUCUUGUCUUUUGCCAAGUUAAAUUAUUUGGCCCUGUGGCCAAACUCAGAGAGCAGACCUGUAUUUCAGUUUUUCCCCCUAUAAAAUUAUUGUUUGACUAAUAUUCCUCCUGUUAAGUUAAAUAAAUUAUGACAGUUUUGUAAAGAAUUUAGAUGUCAUUAUUUUCCAUCUUUGUGGAAUGAAAGCUCCGUGUGUACUGAAUCUUUUUACAAAUCUCUUAACUUCCUUAAACGUUGUGCUUGUUUGCGGUUCUCCCA
Molecule: long non-coding RNA, 1895 nt
Filed under: Homo sapiens (human)
Lineage: Eukaryota; Metazoa; Chordata; Mammalia; Primates; Hominidae
Description: HSALNT0159705
Source: RNAcentral